Molecule: non-coding RNA, 252 nt
Organism: Pantherophis guttatus
Lineage: Eukaryota; Metazoa; Chordata; Lepidosauria; Squamata; Colubridae
Source: RefSeq, a predicted model, not a curated record
AAAAAGCGUGACUCCCGAUCCCGUGAUGCCCAGAGAGCAAUGUGAAACUGUAAUGCCAAUUUCUAACAAAGUCAAGAUGACUCUAAAAACUACAGAAAGGGAUUUGAUGCCCCUGGGCUUCAGACUGAAAGGAUGGAGGAAUUACACCAUGGUUUGGUCAUAGGUGUACACAUACUCAUUCCUAAGGAUUAUAACCCCAAUUCAAAAUGUUCUGCUUGGUUCUUUUCCAAUAACAAAGAAAAUUCCACAUGA